AGAAUAUCUAAACUGCUUCAUCAGUGUGAUGAGGCAUCUCCAGCAUCAGUGAAUUUCAGCAGAGAGCUUUGCGUGAAUGAAUUCCUGCAGUCCUGCACUGAGGAACACCAUGUGUAUCUGUCCCAGACUGGAGCCUGUAAUCGUUUAGCUACCAUUCAAAGGAGAUUCAGGACUCACAGCUCACAUCUAGAAUGGUCAGCUAAUCCCAGGGGGUUUAGUGAAACUCAAGGCCAUGGCUUUAGACAGUCAUUGGUUAUAUUCAGCUUGGAGAGAAAGCAAAUUGGAUAUUCCUAUGAAGGACACCAUUUACUGAGAUGAAAAUGAAAGAACAGAUACAACAGCUUGGAAGAAUAAGAAAGCUUGUUUCACCAUGUGGCUACAACAACUUCAUCUUCUUAGCUUAAAGAAGGAAUGUGCUUUAGACCCUCCUUAUUGUUUCCAUUCUCCAUGCUUAGCUAUACUGGAGCAUAGAACCCUCUCAGAGUGCAACAGACAGACCCCUUAAGUUGAAAGUAAGGUGAAAUAUAUGCUCCAGGCCAACACAUAAUGUGCUCCAACAGUUAAAAAAGCAUCUUAUCCUGAGGAUCAAGUUAGAGUUGUUCUAAAAACCACACAAAGAAUAAAGGAUGGCUAUUAGGUCAUUAACAAAAAUGGUUUUCUUCCAAUUACAAUCUUCAACAGGAUAAUCUGGUGCUCUUGCUGCACCACCUCACUUGAAAAUGCAAACAUAGCCAGAAGCUAUGUAUGUCUCUAAGAAGCACAUUCAAAUGUGCAAGAUCAUUGCCUCUACCUGACAGUUUGCCUUCCAGAACACCAAUGAUUUCUCCUUUAUUUAUGAACCUGGGGAUUGUUCUUUGUGAAGCCUCUGUGACAAAGGGAGAGGAAACAAGCAAGAAGACAAGUUGGUGGAGGAACGAGGACCAGAUCCAGCUUGCUGGAUACCAGCUCCAGGUCUUUAGACCAGAGCACCAUGUGUGGGCCAUUCUUGACCCACAUACUGCUGGGUGCUGUAACUAAAUGAAUAAUAAUAAUAAUAAUAAAGUGACACAACCAUAAGAUGACCA
This 1064-nucleotide long non-coding RNA is filed under the name Coturnix japonica (Japanese quail). Its description in RNAcentral is "lncRNA (ENSCJPG00005008166.1)". The record is from RNAcentral. Lineage: Eukaryota; Metazoa; Chordata; Aves; Galliformes; Phasianidae.